Molecule: microRNA precursor, 114 nt
Filed under: Anopheles epiroticus
Lineage: Eukaryota; Metazoa; Arthropoda; Insecta; Diptera; Culicidae
Description: mir-133 microRNA precursor family
Rfam family: mir-133 microRNA precursor family
About the family: mir-133 was first experimentally characterised in mouse and homologues have since been discovered in several other species. The mature sequence is excised from the 3' arm of the hairpin.
Source: RNAcentral
AAUCACCGGAUAUAGCUGGUUGACAUCGGGUCAAAUCGUAAUAUUGUUUGACGCAAUAUUUUCCCUUUGCGAAUGCAUUUGGUCCCCUUCAACCAGCUGUAGCAGUGAUUGCAA